Molecule: long non-coding RNA, 16757 nt
Filed under: Populus tremula
Lineage: Eukaryota; Viridiplantae; Streptophyta; Magnoliopsida; Malpighiales; Salicaceae
Description: long non-coding RNA (PTRE_LNC002130)
Source: RNAcentral
AUGAAGCUUGUUCUCAUUUAACUAAUAAAAUAUAACCAUAUAGUUUGAUUGACCACUAUGAUGUUGUUUGUAGUAGGUCGUGUGUGUUUGUUGUGUUCUCCAUCUUUAUACUGAGAGCUCUUAUAUUAAUAUUUGAGACAUUUAUAAGCUAAUAAUAAAAAGCCCUUUCAGUAGCAACUAUAGCUGAUUGACUAGGAUUUGUCAUAGUUGAUCAUGACCAUCAUAUAACGCCAUCUGAUCCAUAAAAAUGGUAUAUAUAUGGCUCAUGGCUCUGUACGGGGUAUUAAUGCGCUAAUAUAUCCGUUUAUAGUUGGUGGUGAUGAAUCCAUUGGAAUCGAUGGAAAUGUAAGAGACUGCAUGAAGAUAUUACAAAUAUAUCUAGAUUUAGUUUUGUGUUGUGAUAGUGAGUUAGACGAUGAAGAUCUACUUUAGGCACAUAUAAAAUUGGUUAAUCCAGUGGAAAAUAGGAGAGAUGGUGGAUUAUCAAGCUCCUUCUAACCAAUAAAUUGGCUUGUCUCUGUUGCAUGUACUAACUAUUUAUCUAGUACAAUAGUAACAAGUUUACUUGUGUUUUUAGGCAUAUUUUACUGAAUCUUUUUCCACUAGACAUUGUAUAGGACUGAUAAGACGUGGGAUUCUAGAUCUUGAACCUUAAGAAAUUAUGUAUGUUACAUGAAGAACAACUGUGUAAAAAAGAACAGGGGUUUAAAAAGAAAGAUUACAAUAAUCUAAAUGUAAUAGAAAACAAUAAAUAAAAAUAAAAUAAAAGAAAACAAGGGAAAAUAUUGAUAAAAAUAUAGGAGUGAGUAUAAGGAGUUGACCACCGUUUACAAUAGUAUCUAGUCCUAUUUAUAUUGUUAUAGAAGUUUGAAUACUACUUGUAUAAGUAAUUAUGAUCCUAUAUGGAUAUUGAUAAAAAUGUUUAUUAACUCAUAAUGUAAACUAAACUCCUUUUCUAUUGAUACACGAUGAAUCCUAGGUUAAUCUAAGAAUUUUAAUUAGUUCUUAUGUUGAAGAUCACAUGCCCAGUAAACACAAACAAAUCAAUAAAUCAUCAGUUCUAGCUAUCAUAAAACUUAGAGACGUUGCCAGGCUUCUACUACAUGGCGCCUCACAACCUUAGCAGCAUAAAAAAUCAACCCUGAUAUAAUAUCAUCAACAAGCAAGGAAAACAAAGAGAAAGAAGCAGGAAAGUCGAAAAACUUUCCUGCUCGGCAACGUUCUUUAGGAACCAAACAAAUCAAACCCAACAGCAGCAGCACUUCGAGUAAUUAACUCUUUAACACAAAGCAAUACUUCUCUGUAACUCAACCGUAGAUCAUCUUCCCAAUCAGUACAAGAAAAAGAAAUCUAAAAUUUUGAAAAUAUACUUUCCAUUUAGCAAACAAAAAUUAACACAAAGCAGCAUCGCCAUGCUAACGACCCAGUCAAGAAAACAUCAAAAAGAUUCCAACUUUCACUUCCUCUCACUUCUCCUUUCCUUUUCAUCAUUGAACCACCAAUCCAAAACUGAUAUUAAAGCAACCCACAUAGAUAUAUGGUAGAGAGUCAAAAGAAAAGAAAACCAACCUCUGUUCUUGAGGAACCAAGGGACACCAAAGACAAGAGUGAUGAUGGCCAUGCCAGCUAUGCAAGUACGAUUUACUCUUGACUUGAAUCCUUAGCUGUUGGCCUUGUUUUUUUGCCUCGCUUCCCUUUUUCUUCACUUGCUAAAACGAAAAGACAAGCUUCCUCGCUUCCCAGUUUGCUAAUUUCUCUGCAUUUUAUCAACAAGUAGAAAGCGGGUAUGCUUAAAAUCAUGAUGGAUUGUUGACAAGAUUUUUUAUUUCAAGGUGAAAUAAGCUUUAAUUAUCAUAAAAAGAACAAAUUGAAAGAGAACCAGGUAGGAAACGAGUGUACUAAAGCUCUUACCUUCUCCAUCCCUAUUUGGUUUACCAGGUACCCUGGAGCUAAGCUUUCUUUUUCCCGCGAACUGCGCUGUACAAUUUUCUAUCAUGCGCCUUAUGCGGAGUCCACCUCGUGUCCAAUCAUAGUUACAAGGCCACCUUACUAAAAAGAGUGCAUGGGCGGGAGUUCUCUAUCUCUCACAAGGACAAGUGGCAAAUCACUAAAGAUAAGAACACCACCAGACAUCCGACAAAAAAAGAAAGCACAAACAUAAGUAGCCACUUGUUUGUAGCAGCCAUCCAUAGCUUUACCAUGUCAGAUCCCCAAAACCCUAAUCCCCAAAACCUUCCUUCUUCUUCUGCUUCUUCUUCGUCUAAUAAAAACCCCACCGAAAUUAAACCCGGCAACGGCAAUUACUCGGGUCAAAAGGUCCAUUUCUCGAACCCACCCGAGACAACAAAUCCGGAUCCUGCAACACUGAGGGAACAAUGGAGGUUUGCUAUUAGGCAGUACAGUAAAUGGUAUUCUCACGCUUGGGGCACUGCUAUUCUGGCUGGUGUUUCGUUUUUCGCGCUUGGCUGGAUCAUCAAGGGAUCCAAUCCUUUACCGUCUUCCAGGACUGAUGAUUCCUCUUCUUCGCCUUCUAAUGAUGCUAAAGAAAAAGCAACCCGAUAAUUGGUGAGUUUUAAUUUAUUUUUAAUAUAUUCAUGUUUUAUGGUUUGACUUUUGAUCUGGGUUCUUGCUGGUUUUAAUUUGUGAGCUUGGUUUUUGGUUCCAAGAUUUUUUUUGGUGUUGGUGAUGAAUGUAUCUUUAAUGAAUUCUGAUUAAUUCUGGGAAAUCAAGAAUAAUUAAGUAAUCAAUAGCUUCGAGUUAUAGAAAUGGAAUGAUCAAUUUUGUGCUUAAUCAAGGUUCGAUCGAACAUUCUGAUGAAAUAAUGUCUCUCAUUGCUCAACAAUUGUAUAGAGCAACAACUGAUUGCUUCAGAGAGUUAUACUAGAGGCUUGAAUCAUGGAUGUGACCUGGUUUAUAGGGUGGUGUUGAAAGCUGCUCUGUGAACUUUGAUUAAGUUGAUGGAGUUUGGUUAGGGGGUCAACUCCUGCCAAAUAACUAAUUACACUGUGUUCUACAGGCGUAAUGUUAUCAUAUAUAGACUUCUUACUUGUGUCUCUGUAACCUUUGGACUCAAAUAUGGCUUCAGUGGCGGAUUGUGAAGCUUCCUAUUCCAUUUUUUUGAUUCUACAAGAGUUUUGUAUUCCAUGUGAACUGCGAUUUGGUUUUUCCUUGAAGACUAUAUUAUGUUCCAUUUUGAAUUAUCAUUAUGGAAUCUUCUUUUCAAAGGUGGAAUCAUCAUGUUAUUGGUCUUAUACAUUGGAUAUUUGUUUAAAAACAAUGAAGCACCACCAUAGAGCAACAAUUGUGCUACCUGCUAAAUAUUUUUUAUGCUGUUAUGUGUAGUGGUAGUUCUUCAUUCAUAGAAUUAUAUUCUUCCCAUUGGUUUACAUGGCACCUGGACUGUAAUGGCUUCAGUCAUCUAUCAUUCAUUCCUUCGUUAUGUUUACUCUCAGAUAUGGGUUUUACCAAAAGCUGUAAUAGGAUAAAAUUUAUUCAAGUUACCUUGGGGUUCCUCCUCCUCCCUCAUUGGGUUACUGAUUCAUGAUUGAACUAUGCUUUGCAGAUGCACAAGAAUAAUGGAGAUCAGCCUCUGUAUUGGCAGGUUUUUACAAUCGAGGUUCUUACUGGUUUUUAUGUACAGUUCUUAUAAGUUUUGUGACUUACAUUUUGUGUUCGAGUAUCAGCCAUUGUAUCGGCAGGUUCUUACAACCAAGGUUCUUACUGGUUUUUUAUGUACAGUUCUUACAAGUUUUGUGACUUACUUUUGUGUUCAAGUAAUAAUGGGAUUUGUAAGCCAACAAUGUGGAUGUCGCUGGGCUCUUUCAUAAUUUGGAUCUUUGCCUACAUUUUCUCUAAUCCGUACAAUUGACUUUGAAUCCCUUAUUGAAUGUUUGAUCAAGGAGAGAGAGAGGAUUGAAGUUGAAAGUGUUUUCUCGGCUUCAUUUGUUUUUUUUUUUUUAUUUGCAAGGAAAUUAGAUGGAGCAAUGUCCGGAGGAUUAUUGUGCUAUGUUAGCAUACAAGUGCAUGAUAACUACAUUCAAUUUAAUUAUUUCAUAUCCUAAUAUUUGCAGAACAAAAUCAACAUCUUGGAAUGUACCGAAGUCUCGCAUAUUUUGUGUAGAAUGCAGAUACAUAUGAUGAUGCAUCAAGUAGAGUUUCGAAACAUGAAAUGUUGGCUUGGGGCUUUAUUAUUUCCUUCUCCGUCCAAGCCAGUCUUCGCACGUUUAAGACCCAGACAUCCAAACUUAGAAUUGCAGCACACGAGCGAGUACAACAAGGCGGAAAACAGAAACAAAUAAUUUGACUGAUUUAAGAGAACAACAAAUAAACAACUUUUUGUUUUUGAAGAUCCAAAAUGGGCUAACAAAUUCAUCUCUAGUUCUUAAAACAUGGUAACAUUUAACAGUUGAAUAUUUUUGGUCAACGUAGCAUAUUGUCAAAUGGUCAGCUAAACCUGGAUGAUAUGAACUGGGAAUGGAGUCCCAAAGACAAUAAUCUGUAGACCGGGUCCUCAAUAUUAAUCUGAGAAAAUCUUGAAACAUUUCAAAACUUAUCAAUGCUCAAGAUGAGCAACAUCCAGCCUUUUUCACAGCCGAGACAUCAUCUCUGCUGCCAACAUUAAUUUUCUGUCCUUUGGGCUGUCAAAGAACCAUCUCAAUCAAAAAGCUUAAUCUAUUAGGUGAGGCCCCAAUAUAUGAUUUAUGUUAUUCUCUAACACACCCCUUCAAGUGAAAGCCCUUUGGGCUUGAAACUUGCACAGGCCCACAUUAACAUGUGCUUAAUUUUAUCAAAUAAAUAAGGAUGGUGAGAUUCGAACUCGUGACCGCUUGGUCAUUAAAGCUCUGAUACCAUGUCAAAGAACCAUCUCAACCCAAAAGCUUAAGCUAUUAGGUGAAGUCCCAAGAUAUGAUUUAUGUUAUUCUCUAACAUGGGUGAAUAUGUUUGGUCAUCUCCAACGUCAAGAGCCUUCCUGCUUACACCAAGGUAAAUCUGGGUCAGCACCUCUGUGAAAGCAUUUUCAACAUUCAUUUGAUUCCAGAGCAGAAGUCUCCAAGAAAAAUGUGCUCUCUCUUUCAGCAAAACCCUUUGCUUCUUCAGUGGCAACUGCUCCAAGAAAAAUGUCUGCUUUGUUUCCUACGAGCAUGAUCACAUUGUUUGGCAUCUGUGUGAUCCCGAAGCUCCUUUAACCAUCUCUCCACAUUUUCAAAUGUAACAUGGCGGGUUACAUCAUAGACUAGUAAAGCUCCAACUGCCCCCCGAUAGUAUACACUUGUGAUAGCACGGUAUCUUUUAACAAAAAGAAAAGAAAAGAGGAAAUAAAAGAAAUAAGAGAGAUGAAUUUGAAGUGUCCUUUUGAUUUCUAGCACAGUAAAAAAAGAAAAGAAAAAGAUAAGUGCAAUAAAGAGAGAGAGAAGAGAGGAGAUAAAUAAAAAGGAAAAGAAAAGAAAAAAAAAUACCUUCAAGCAUAUUAAAACUCUGAUUACAACACUAUUUGUAAAGUUGGAAAGAUUCGAAGAGACAAAUUUAAUUAUACCAAGAAUAGUCAUCAACAAUAAUAAAAAUGGACCAUACAAGUGGUUCAAAGACAAAUGAGUUUUGACAUCUUUGUUGCCAGACACCUCCCUUUCAUUCCCCUAAUCAUGCCAACAGUAGCAGCAUAACUCGUUCCUCUAGAGCCAUCAGCAUCGGCAACACACUCGCCAUGAAUUAAUUCACAUCCUGCCGCUGCUGUUUUUUGUUUUACCAGCAAAGGACAAGAUGGGCUGUACCUUUAGCCCAACCUACGUUUACAUAUAAAAAAGGAAAAAAUCGUUGGGCCUUUAGCCGGCCCAACCUAAUUAAACUAAGCUUAGCCUCAAGCCCAACCAACCUAGCUCCUAGGUUAUGAGUGUGUUUGCCAAACCAUGCAAUAUAUUGAGUUAAUUCUCUCUUUUCCAGUAGUCUUAUCAUUCAAAGAUGGACAGCGAGGAAGAAAGGUUUUGUAUCAAAAUUUCAAUGUCUGUUCUUGGGAAACAUUUUCUUAAAAAACAAAUUCACAUCUUCUUAAUGAUUUUAGAUUCAUCAUUUUAGCAUAAAUUAAGAUCAAAUAAUAAAAUUAAAUUAAAGAGAAAUGACAGUUAAUAAUAUUUUUGUUUUUGAUGAAGUUAAUAUUUUGUUCUUGAUGAAAGCUUACUGAUAUAGCUUUCUUCAGUUUUUAAUGUCAUAAAUUUCCUAUUUCCUUCAUUGCUAUUAUUCCAAUCCUUUUUAUAAUAAUAAUAAAAAUAAUUUAAGCAUACGAAAAGAAUGCAUAAAUAAGUCCUAAUUAAUUAACUUAACAUUCUUGACAUUAACUGUCAUUUCUCUCUCUCUUUUUUUUUGUCAAUUUAUUGAUUUCUCUACUGUUAAUGGAUCUCUCUGUUUUUUCCUUUCUUCUACUUUUUCUGUUCCUUCGAGUUGAUCAGUCCAAGAAUCUGAUCAUUUAAGAAUAGGAUUCUUUUUGCAAUUCUGAUGAGUUUUUUGUACGGUAAAGAGUGUCUUUUUGUACAAUUCUGCUCAACAAAUGCGUCUCUUGUAAAAAAAUGAUGAAACCUAAUUGAUAUUUUUUUAAAAAAAAAACUCUUAAAGAUCAGAUCAAAUAUGGAACUUGUACCAUAUUUUCUAACGAGUUGAAUAGAAUUCAAUCCAUUUCAGACGACCAAAUAAGGAUAAGAUGUGUUUAUGCCCAAGGACCAAGAAUCAUGUAUGAUGUUUAUGUCGUGUAGAUACAUGAAUGGAUUCUUUUGCGGUCCAGUCCCACUAUCAGCACCAGUUGUUUUAUGUACAAAACAUAAAUAUAUGAGAUUAUGUCCACUUUCAAAAUUUAUUUUCCAUCAAUAUGGCAAUGAUCAUAUGAUACACCUCGAAUUUGAAGUAUGUAAUGAUGAUUUUAUGUUCUGAACAUUAACUUAUGUUGAUAUUGCUUCAAAUUAGGGUCCCAGAUGAUGAAGCAAAAGAAGUCCAAGAGUAGCACUCUAAAGGCAGUAAUAGAACAUAUUUAUAAUCAGGUUAAAAAAAAAAGGAGAACAUAUUUAUAUAUCUAUGAUGUUUAAUUUGUAAGGAUUUAUGAAUUUUUUUUAUUACAUUAAUUUUCUAACAAUAUAAUAAGACAAUAUCUAUGAUGUUAUUUUAGAUCAAAUUAACAACAUAACAAUAUACUAAAACAAUUGAUCGAUUAGUUUUUUUUUUUUUUUGUAGGAAAGACAUCACAAUUGCUCAUCGACAAUAAAUAAAACAAUUAAUUUAAUAUUUGGAUUUUGAGAGUCUUCUUAUAUAGCUCCCUCGUUCUACUUUAACUAUCAUAAAUAUCUUUCAUCUUCAUUAUUUUCACUUGACCUCAAAUUUAAUAACUCUGUGCAAUCCUUAGGGAAGUCGAUGGUGAGAAGGAAGAAUCCAAUUGAGCCACCAUCCACGGUGCAAGUCUAUUUCAGUCUUCUCAUUAACUUAGAGGACCACCGCAAGAAACUAUCGCCUUUACCUGGCUGGCAAAAAUAAGGCCACUUAUAUUGCCGGACUAGAUCGAUGUCAAAUCCAAUGAGAACCUGGAAUUUAAUCAAUGAAGAAUUUUUUAUCCUUUUCGACAUGUGUAGGCCCUACAUUAGAGGCUAGGUGAUUCUCUUCUGAUCCUAUAUAACGCUAAGGCUUCCUCCACAUCGCAUCCAUCCUCAGCUUCUGUUUGCUUACAAGUCGUUAGUUUUCUUAUAGAUAUGGCUCAAAUUGGCAACCAGAUUGAGAUGAUCACGACACCAAUUCAAUGCUCUGCUUUUAUGUUUUAUGAGGUCUACAGGAAAGAAGCGUUCCUCUUGCCGAGGAUUUCUCCUCGUAAUGUUAAGAAAAUAGAACUCGUUCCCCCUACUUGUAGUUGGGAGGAUAAAGUAGGCUCCCGCAAGCUCGUUCACUUCGAUGAAGGUUUGAACUCAGAUUUCUUAAAGGAGGGAGAGACUCUCAUUCACAUUUUCAAUCUUUUUUCCUUAAGAUAAUUAUCAAUUAAUCACUUUGUUCCAUAAUUUUUUUUAUAGCAUCUGUUUUCCUUGAGCAUGCAUGCAUAUAUUUUAACAACAGCGGCGUUGUUUUUUUAAAUAGCUGGACUUGAGUCUUUCAAGGAUGAAGUGAUAGAGAUUCAACCUGACGCCAAGAAAAUCACCUUCAAGGUGUUGGAAGGAAACAUGAUGAUGUCCUUCUAUCACAGCUUCCAGGCAACUCUUGAGGUCACUGAAGGCUCCGCGAAAUGGACUGUUGUAUUUACAAAGAAACAUCACUCAUGCCCAGAACCUACUUAUUACUUGCAGCGCUUAGAUUCCGUCAACAAGGACAUUAAUACUUACCUUCUUUCUUGUAACUAGGAACAGCACGACAGAACAUGCCCUUUGUUUAAGUGAAGCUAGCCAGUACGUACGUUGUACUUUGAAAUAAACGCUUCAAAUUGAAGGUGCAUGUAAUUCCCAGGCCCUAAUAUAAAGUAUAGAGCACUUUAGACCUUUGGAUUCCAUCAGUUAGGCUGUUGAUGCUUCCCUUCUACAAGGUGUGUGGCAUGAGCAGAUAAGCCUGGUAUUUGUAUAAUAAUUCAGGUGGCCAUCCUCUGUGUAACUUUGUGUGAUCUAGUAAUUAAAUAAUAUGUGCUCACUUUCCUUAAAUCCGUCGUUCGGAGUAUUAUUUUCGUUCUAAAUCCAUUUUUUAAUAUAUAUAUAUAUAUAUAUAAAGAUUAAGGGGGCAAUUUCCCCCUUAAUCCCCAUUUGGCUCCGCAACUGGCUGCCACUGUCCAAGCAAUUCUAGCAACUCCUCUAGACCAUUUAGAUCUUGCCUAACCUCUCCUGGAAGGUCCACUGCAAAUUUUGAAUGAUUUAAUAUUUUGCGUUACAUGUGAUAAUUGUAUAAAUGUGUGUGUCGCACCCUAAAAAAAAUCCAAUUACGGGUUCGAUUGUCGAUUUUUUUGUUUUACUGAUUUGGUUCUUUGGAGCCACCUAGUAUUUUGGUUACUAGGAACCAUAACUGGUCUCAAAGAUCGGGUACGGGGACUGGUUGUGUAAAAGGAAGGUAUUAGCACCCCAAAUACGCCCUACCUAAGGUAAGCUGCAUUGUUUUAUUGUCUGAUAAAAACUAAAAUGUUAUUGUACUUCUAGUUGUUGGUCUGUCUAUGGUUCAAGAAAAAUCCUCCUCGGUAAGAAGGUCUUUAUCUUAUCGGGUAAAAUCCUAACCGUUCUAACGUCUAUACCAAAACUUUAUUAAUAAUAUUUAGGAAUACGUUUUACGUAUAAAUUCGUAAUCCCAAAUACUAAAAGAAAACAAAAAGAUUUUUUUAGAAUUUUUGAAAUAUUGGCCUAGUUCUCAUGGCUUGAAUAAACUGGUUAUUAAAGCCAAAAUGCAUGCUAAUACAUAUAUUGUUUUGAAAAUUUCCUUUGUUGUGUGAAAAUAUGAUGUUAUAAUAUAUAUAUAUAUAUUGGAGAGACUAGGCCGUAUUUUAAAACCAAAAAAACAUUUUUUGGAAAAUUUUUUUUUUUAUGUUUUAACGAAAAUCGGGUAUUUUAAUACUGGGUUUGUAUUCUUACGGUAUAAAAAUACAAACCAAUAUUAAUCCACCCUAAUAAAAAUAUGCAGGAAAAAUCAACAAUAUUUUUAGGGAUUUUUUAGAAUUUUUUGAAAGCAAAAACAUUUUUUAUAUUGAAAGUCUUUGAUGUUUUGACAAAAACCGGGUAUUUUAAUAAUGAAUUUAUAUCUCUACGGUAUAGAAAUACAAACCAUUAUUAAGCCAAAAAUGCAACCAAAUCAACAAUAUUUUUCAAAGAUUUUUCAGAAUAUAUUUUUUAAAGAAAAAAAAAAAAUAUAUACAUAUAUAAUAUAAUAUAUAUUAUAUGGGCUGGGCCGGCCCAAUUGAAUGGGCCAAACCCAGCCCAACAAGAAUUGGGAUUGGGCCGAUCUCGGCCCAUUUAAGCUUUUAUCUUUGACUGGGCCAAACCUGGCCCGAUAUGCAUAACUGGGCCAGAAUCGGUCUGGCCCAGCAAAAGAAAAUAGUCGGGAGGGGAAUUAAUUUUCCCCUCCCCUUCUCCUGCAUGCAACACAAUUAUGCAUGCAAGAGGGAAGCUUCUUCAACUAACAGGUGCAAAGGGAGGGGGGAGAAGACUUUACCUAGUGUGGAGGAGGCGGUCGCUGGUGGUGCUGCGAUGGAGGCCGGCGUGGCUGAAGGCGGCGAGGCUGGUCGCAGGAUCUGAUCGCCGCUGGAGGAAGAAAAAAACAGGUCCUGCAGAGGAGAAGGAGAGCCCACGGUUGCAACUGUUGGAGCGGCUGAAGGGAGAGCUGCUAUCCUGGCGGUCUUUGGUGCUGCUGCUAUGCUGCAUAGGAGAAGGAAAACUCACGGUUGCAAGAUGAUUGCUGCGGCUGCUGCUACUGCUGUUGCUGCUGCUGGAGGCCUCGGUGACAGAGGAGGAGAGUUUUGCAGAGGAGAGAAAGAUGAUGCAACCACCGUGUGUGACGUUUUGGUGGCUGCUUGAGGUGGAGAUGACAAUGAGAAGACGAGUGAUGAUGGUGGUGGUGGAUGAGGGCCAACGACGGAGAGGGAAAGGGAAGAAGAGACUGGUUGCAGGAAAACUGGGCAGUAAUGGCUGGUUUUUGUCCGACUUUGUGUUUUAUUUUUUCCUCCCUCAGAUCAUCAAAUCCGACUCUAUUUAUAGGCUGUGGAAGAGGACAAUCUUGUCUACGUUGGAGAAAAAUUUCAGCCCUUGAUUCAGUUGGGAAGCAUCUCAACUGUUGGCUCAAAGUGUGCACCUCGAGCUGCCAAAUUUGGCAGCUCCAGGUUGUGAACUGCCCGAGGUGGCCACUUUGAGCCACUCAACGGAGCCGUUUCUAACUUUUUCGGCCCGACAGGACCAUUCUCCGGGAUAAAGGGGUUUCAGGUGGACAUGUUGGUGCACGGUUUGUCGGAUUUGGAGGCCAGACGAGCCGAAAGUGAAUAGUAACAGGCGACGUGUCUCCUGAUUUCCCUGCGCCAUUUUUCAAAUUAAUCCUCCAGUUUUCAAUUUCUUCAAUUUGACCCCGGAUCAAUCCAAUACAGCACCCCUAUUUACGCCCUUUUUCCAAAUUGGUCCCUGGUUUCGGAUUUUCUCAAUUAAGUCCCUAAUUGGCCAUUAAACUUCAAUAUUUAUGCAAUUAAGCCCCUGAUCGGACCUAAUAAAUUCCUAAAAAAUAUAUUUUGGCCCCAGAACUUAAAUUUCUUCUAAUUAAAGCCCAAAUUGACUUAAAAAUCAAUUUUUCUUGCAAUCAAAUCCCCUAUAAAUCCAAUUAAAAAUCCAAUUAAGUCCAUAAACAUCCAAAUUUGGGCUUUUCUCCUCAAAAUUUAAAUUUUCCUUCUAAAAUAGGGCCCUCAUCCUUCAAGAAUAUACUGUCAAAAAUCCAAUCUUUGUAUUUUUAUACUCCUUGACCAAUUUUCUGACCAUUUUCUGAACGUUUCUGCCUCCUGUUAUUUUUCUAACCUCUUUUGGCUAUUUAUUUUAUUUUUAUUUUUGUGGGGACCCGAAAAUGGGUUACAACAGUGUGUAAUCAUAAGGUGUGUGCUAAAUAGUGAAAGAGAAUAUAUGUCAGUGAUACAUGAUUUUAUUUUCUUUGGAUGUGUUAGAAAAAAACAAAAAAACAAAGAAGAAAAAAAAAUACACAUACUUGUAUAAUUUGUUUUUUUACACCAUGUUUACAUAAAAAUUAAAAAAACCCAUUUUUGCAUGUUUUUAGCAUUAAAAAAAUGUGUUUUUGAUAUUUGUUUAAAAAGAAAUCCAAAGAGACUGGAUUAGGGACUUGAUUGAAGAAAUUCAAAAUUAAGGACCAAACUGGAAAUGUACGUAAAUAAAGAGGCUGAAAUUGAUCGAAUUAAAGGCUAAAUUGAAGAAAUUGAAAGUUUGUUGAUCAAUUGAUGGUCAAAAUGCACAAAUUCAAAAUCAAAGACCAAAGUGAAAGAGGUGGCCAACUUCAUGGUUGACAUCUAAAUUUGACAAUGAUGCAAUUGAAUUGAUUCUUAAAUCUCAAUUGAGGAAUGGAUUAAACAAAUUAAAAUUUAGGAUUGAUUUAGAAAUUGAAAAUUUUUAGCGCCCUUUUCUUUUAAAUGAAACGACAUGUUUUGUUCACAACGAUGUCGUUUCAUUCACAAUUCAUUUUUUUUAAAGAGAGAGAGAGCUACAAAUAGUGUCAUUUUGAUGACACUGUUUGACAUCUUCUUCCCCUGGACGUGCAAAGGCAGGGGAAGAAGGUUUUUUCCCCCUCCUUUGCAAUGCUUGUUUCUCCCUCGCUCUCCCUCCCAUUUGCCCAAAAACCCCGACACAACCUACACCCUUUCAUGGCCUACCACCAUGAUGAAAGGGACAGAGUAGACAAGCCAUGCGGGUGGCUGUAUAGAGGCCGCUCCAGCCAUCCUACUGUUUCACCAUGACUAGACAAGGAUAGGAUAGGGUGGCCAUCUCUUCCCUCACCCCUUAUAAAUACCCCCUCACCAGAAGGUAAAAGGGAUGAGAAUGAGAGAACGAAAGGAAUGAAAGAAACAUAAAAAGGAGAGCGAAGGAAAAAAACAAAACAAAAAAAAAGAAAAAAAAAACAGGGGAAAAUAGAGAAAGGAAAAAAAAGUUAGGAAAGGAAGAAACAAAAGAGAAAGAAAGAAGAGAAAACAAAGAGUGAUAGGAAAGGGAAAGAAGAAUAACCACCGGCCAACAAAGCCACCCUUCCCAGUGCAUAGCCUCCUCGGUGAGAAGAAGAACCAGCAGCUCCAGCUCCAGCAAGGAUGGAUGUCGUUAUGAGCCAUCGAAAGUCAGCAUCCACCUCAUUUCUUCUUCUUCUCUUUCUUUGUGUGCCACCUCCACUAUUCUGUAAGUGAAUAAUGGAGAGUGAAUUAAUUCACUCUCCACUGUUCACUAUAUCGAACAAUGUCAACCCAUACCAAAAUGGUUGGCCCGAGUCCGACCCAAUAAAAAUAAUAUUUAUUGGACUGGUAUUGGCCCAACACCCUUUUGGGACGACAUCGGAUCAACCCUUGUCUUGGGCUGAUGUCAGCCUAGUCGCUUUUUGGGUCGAACUCGACCUAGUUUCCUUUUGGAUCGAACUUAGCCCAAACAUGGUGGGCUCAACCCACAUGAUUAGGUUAGGGCCAACCUGAUGUAUUUUAUUAUAAUAUAAUACUAUAUAAUAUAUGUUAUAUAUUAAAAUAAAAAUAAAUCAUUUGAAAAACAUUUGUGGUUUUCUUGCGUAUUUUUCUACCAAUUUUACUUAAUAUUGGUUUGUAUUUUUAUACUUUAAAGAUACAAAUCCGACAUUAAAAUACCUAGUUUUUUUCAAAAUAUUACAAAAAAAAUUUAUAUAGAAAAAAUAAAUAAAUAAAUAUAUAUAUAUAUAUACACACACACACGACCAAGUCUCUCAAGCUUAUAAGAAAUUUUCUUAUCGAAUUUUCAUACAACAAAAAAUUCAAGAACAAUAUUUAUUAGAAUGCAUUUUGAGCUUUAAUAAUCAGUUUAUUAAAGUCAUGAGAACUAGGUCAAACCAAGAAAAUUAUUUUGUUUUCUUUUAUUAUCUAGGAUUACAUACUUAUACUUAAAACAUAUUCCUAUUAUUAAAUAAGUGAUAAUUCAUUUUUUGUUGACGUUAGAACGAUUAAGUUUUACCUGAUAAGAUAAGGAUCUUUAUACUGAUGAUGACUUUUCUUUAACCUUAGACAUGCCAAUAAUUAAAAUAUACGACAAUAUCUUAAUUUAUUAUCAGACAAUUAAACAAUAUAAGUUAUCUUAGAUAAAAUCAUCCCGGGAUGGAAGCUUCGGUCCUGGGAGAGGCAGAAUUUAGGGCCGGGGGGGUGUCUAGCUGAAAAUUUAAAGGAGAGAAGAUUUGAUGAGUAUAAUUUUCAUUUGAAAUCACUAAGGGAUUUUCAUUGAUAUUUUUAUCGGUGAUUUGACGUGUUAAAAAUGUUAAAAUAAAUUCUGACACAAUGAUUUUUAAAUUCAAUCUGAAGAGAAUUUUUUAUUGGCGUUUUUUUUUAAUUUUUUUUUUUCUGGUAAUGGUUGAUACGUGACGCCACAUUACCAUUCAUAGGAGCCUAAAACAGGACGUUGAGAUGAGCUUUAGAAGCCGGAAAGUUUUUGUAAUAUUGGUGUAGCUAUUUGGGCUGCGACCCAAACAAUAUGGGUGUUACCAUUGGGACCCAACGGUAACUAGGCAACAAAGGUUUGUUGCCGUUUGGGUUUAAUAUUAUUAACUGCCAUUUUUCUUUAAUUUAAUUUCUUUUUUAACCACUCAGUGAUGGGAUAAGAUUGAGGAGCUAUCCCAGAAACCCGUAAAAUUCAUGUCGAAAUAAAUAAAUAAAUAAAACAGAAAUAUUAUUACGAAUAAGAGCUUUACCAAACUUGGGAAAAUAUCAAUGUCAAACAAUGCAAUAUGUUGAGUUAAUUCUCUCUUUUUUUGAUCGUUUGGACAUUCAGAGUUUCCAGUAGUCUUAUCAUUCAAAGAUGGACAGCGAGGAAGAAAGGUUUUGUAUCAAAAUUUCAAUGUCUGUUCUUGGGAAACAUUUUCUUAAAAAACAAAUUCACAUCUUCUUAAUGAUUUUAGAUUCAUCAUUUUAGCAUAAAUUAAGAUCAAAUAAUAAAAUUAAAUUAAAGAGAAAUGACAGAUAAUAAUAUUUUUGUUUUUGAUGAAGUUAAUAUUUUGUUCUUGAUGAAAGCUUACUGAUAUAGCUUUCUUCAGUUUUUAAUGUCAUAAAUUUCCUAUUUCCUUCAUUGCUAUUAUUCCAAUCCUUUUUAUAAUAAUAAUAAAAAUAAUUUAAGCAUACGAAAAGAAUGCAUAAAUAAGUCCUAAUUAAUUAACUUAACAUUCUUGACAUUAACUGUCAUCUCUCUCUCUCUCUCUCUGUUGUCAAUUUAUUGAUUUCUCUACUGUUAAUGGAUCUCUCUGUUUUUUCCUUUUUUCUACUUUUUCUGUUCCUUUCGGGUUGAUCAGUCCAAGAAUCUGAUCAUUUAAGAAUAGGAUUCUUUUUGCAAUUCUGAUGAGUUUUUUGUACGGUAAAGAGUGUCUUUUUGUACAAUUCUACUCAACAACUGCGUCUCUUGUAAAAAAAUGAUGAAACCUAAUUGAUUUUUUUUUAAAAAAAAACUCUUAAAGAUCAGAUCAAAUAUGGAACUUGUACCAUAUUUUCUAACGAGUUGAAUAGAAUUCAAUCCAUUUCAGACGACCAAAUAAGGAUAAGAUGUGUUUAUGCCCAAGGACCAAGAAUCAUGUAUGAUGUUUAUGUCGUGUAGAUUCCAGUCCCACUAUCAGCACCAGUUGUUUUAUGUACAAAACAUAAAUAUAUGAGACUAUGUCCACUAUCAAAAUUUAUUUUCCAUCAAUAUGGCAAUGAUCAUAUGAUACACCUCGAAUUUGAAGAAUGUAAUGAUGAUUUUAUGUUCUGAACAUUAACUUAUGUUGAUAUUGCUUCAAAUUAGGGUCCCAGAUGAUGAAGCAAAAGAAGUCCACAAGAGUAGUCCACAAAAUUAGGGUCCCAGAUAAUUUGUAAGGAUUUAUGAAUUUUUUUUAUUACAUUAAUUUUCUAACAAUAUAAUAAGACAAUAUCUAUGAUGUUAUUUUAGAUCAAAUUAACAACAUAACAAUAUACUAAAACAAUUGAUCGAUUAGUUUUUUUUUUUUUGUAGGAAAGACAUCACAAUUGCUCAUCGACAAUUAAUAAAACAAUUAAUUUAAUAUUUGGAUUUUGAGAGUCUUCUUAUAUAGCUCCCUCGUUCUACUUUAACUAUCAUAAAUAUCUUUCAUCUUCAUUAUUUUCACUUGACCUCAAAUUUAAUUACUCUGUGCAAUCUUUAGGGAAGUCGAUGGUGAGAAGGAAGAAUCCAAUUGAGCCACCAUCCACGGUGCAAGUCUAUUUCAUCUUCUCAUUAACUUAGAGGACCACCGCAAGAAUCUAUCGCCUUUACCUGGCUGGCAAAAAUAAGGCCACCACUUAUAUUGGGGACUAGAUCGAUGUCAAUCCAAUGAGAACCUGGAAUUAAUCAAUGAAGAAUUUUUUAUCCUUUUCGACAUGUGUAGGCCCUACAUUAGAGGCUAGGUGAUUCUCUUCUGAUCCUAUAUAACGCUAAGGCUUCCUCCACAUCGCAUCCAUCCUCAGCUUCUGUUUGCUUACAAGUCGUUAGUUUUCUUAUAGAUAUGGCUCAAAUUGGCAACCAGAUUGAGAUGAUCACGACACCAAUUCAAUGCUCUGCUUUUAUGUUUUAUGAGGUCUACAGGAAAGAAGCGUUCCUCUUGCCGAGGAUUUCUCCUCGUAAUGUUAAGAAAAUAGAACUCGUUCCCCCUACUUGUAGUUGGGAGGAUAAAGUAGGCUCCCGCAAGCUCGUUCACCUCGAUGAAGGUUUGAACUCAGACUUCUUAAAGGAGGGAGAGACUCUCAUUCACAUUUUCAAUCUUUUUUCCUUAAGAUAAUUAUCAAUUAAUCACUUUGUUCCAUAAUUUUUUUUUUUUAGCAUCUGUUUUCCUUGAGCAUGCAUGCCUAUAUAUAUUUUAACAAGCAGCGGCGUUGUUUUUUUAAAUAGCUGGACUUGAGUCUUUCAAGGAUGAAGUGAUAGAGAUUCACCCUCACGCCAAGAAAAUCACCUACAAGGUGUUGGAAGGAAACAUGAUGAUGUCCUUCUAUCACAGCUUCCAGGCAACUCUUGAGGUCACUGAAGGCUCCGCGAAAUGGACUGUUGAAUUUAUAAAGAAAAAUGACUUAUGCCCAAAUCCUGAUUAUUACUUGCAGCGUU